RNAcentral lists this ribosomal RNA (424 nucleotides) under uncultured bacterium. Its description in RNAcentral is "bacterial SSU rRNA". It matches the Rfam family "Bacterial small subunit ribosomal RNA", at positions 355 to 776 of the family's 1533-position model. The record is from RNAcentral.
UGAGGAAUAUUGGACAAUGGGUGGAAGCCUGAUCCAGCCAUCCCGCGUGAAGGAUGACGGCCUUAUGGGUUGUAAACUUCUUUUAUAUGGGGAUAAACCUACUCACGUGUGAGUAGCUGAAGGUACCAUAUGAAUAAGCACCGGCUAACUCCGUGCCAGCAGCCGCGGUAAUACGGAGGGUGCAAGCGUUAUCCGGAUUUAUUGGGUUUAAAGGGUCCGUAGGCGGAUUAAUAAGUCAGUGGUGAAAGCCCAUCGCUUAACGAUGGAACUGCCAUUGAUACUGUUAGUCUUGAGUGAGGUUGCAGUGGCUGGAAUGUGUAGUGUAGCGGUGAAAUGCUUAGAUAUUACGCAGAACACCAAUUGCGAAGGCAGGUCACUAAGCCUCAACUGACGCUGAUGGACGAAAGCGUGGGGAGCGAACAGG